AUACGGAGGAUGCAAGCGUUAUCCGGAUUUAUUGGGUUUAAAGGGUGCGUAGGCGGAUGAUUAAGCGUGAGGUGAAAUGCCACUGCUCAACAGUGGAACUGCCUCGCAAACUGGUUGUCUUGAAUGCUCCUGCCGUGGGAGGAAUGUGUGGUGUAGCGGUGAAAUGCAUAGAGAUCACACAGAACACCGAUUGCGAAGGCAUCUCACGAAGGGGUGAUUGACGCUGAGGCACGAAAGCGUGGGGAUCAAACAGGAUUAGAUACCCUGGUAGUCCACGCAGUAAACGAUGAUUACUAGCUGUUUGCGAUACAAUGUAAGCGGCUGAGCGAAAGCGUUAAGUAAUCCACCUGGGGAGUACGUUCGCAAGAAUGAAACUCAAAGGAAUUGACGGGG
Molecule: ribosomal RNA, 393 nt
Filed under: uncultured bacterium
Lineage: Bacteria
Description: partial 16S ribosomal RNA
Rfam family: Bacterial small subunit ribosomal RNA
Source: RNAcentral